RNAcentral lists this ribosomal RNA (2777 nucleotides) under Salmonella enterica subsp. enterica serovar Dublin. RNAcentral describes it as "bacterial LSU rRNA". It matches the Rfam family "Bacterial large subunit ribosomal RNA". Lineage: Bacteria; Pseudomonadati; Pseudomonadota; Gammaproteobacteria; Enterobacterales; Enterobacteriaceae. The record is from RNAcentral.
AGCGUACACGGUGGAUGCCCUGGCAGUCAGAGGCGAUGAAGGGCGUGCUAAUCUGCGAUAAGCGCCGGUAAGGUGAUAUGAACCGUUAUAACCGGCGAUACCCGAAUGGGGAAACCCAGUGUGAUUCGUCACACUAUCAUUAACUGAAUCCAUAGGUUAAUGAGGCGAACCGGGGGAACUGAAACAUCUAAGUACCCCGAGGAAAAGAAAUCAACCGAGAUUCCCCCAGUAGCGGCGAGCGAACGGGGAGGAGCCCAGAGCCUGAAUCAGCAUGUGUGUUAGUGGAAGCGUCUGGAAAGGCGCGCGAUACAGGGUGACAGCCCCGUACACAAAAGCGCAUGUGCUGUGAGCUCGAUGAGUAGGGCGGGACACGUGGUAUCCUGUCUGAAUAUGGGGGGACCAUCCUCCAAGGCUAAAUACUCCUGACUGACCGAUAGUGAACCAGUACCGUGAGGGAAAGGCGAAAAGAACCCCGGCGAGGGGAGUGAAAAAGAACCUGAAACCGUGUACGUACAAGCAGUGGGAGCACAGGUUUACCUGUGUGACUGCGUACCUUUUGUAUAAUGGGUCAGCGACUUAUAUUCUGUAGCAAGGUUAACCGAAUAGGGGAGCCGGAGGGAAACCGAGUCUUAAUUGGGCGUUAAGUUGCAGGGUAUAGACCCGAAACCCGGUGAUCUAGCCAUGGGCAGGUUGAAGGUUGGGUAACACUAACUGGAGGACCGAACCGACUAAUGUUGAAAAAUUAGCGGAUGACCUGUGGCUGGGGGUGAAAGGCCAAUCAAACCGGGAGAUAGCUGGUUCUCCCCGAAAGCUAUUUAGGUAGCGCCUCGUGAAUUCAUCUCCGGGGGUAGAGCACUGUUUCGGCUAGGGGGCCAUCCCGGCUUACCAACCCGAUGCAAACUGCGAAUACCGGAGAAUGUUAUCACGGGAGACACACGGCGGGUGCUAACGUCCGUCGUGAAGAGGGAAACAACCCAGACCGCCAGCUAAGGUCCCAAAGUCAUGGUUAAGUGGGAAACGAUGUGGGAAGGCCCAGACAGCCAGGAUGUUGGCUUAGAAGCAGCCAUCAUUUAAAGAAAGCGUAAUAGCUCACUGGUCGAGUCGGCCUGCGCGGAAGAUGUAACGGGGCUAAACCAUGCACCGAAGCUGCGGCAGCGACGCUUAUGCGUUGUUGGGUAGGGGAGCGUUCUGUAAGCCUGUGAAGGUGUGUCGUGAGGCAUGCUGGAGGUAUCAGAAGUGCGAAUGCUGACAUAAGUAACGAUAAAGCGGGUGAAAAGCCCGCUCGCCGGAAGACCAAGGGUUCCUGUCCAACGUUAAUCGGGGCAGGGUGAGUCGACCCCUAAGGCGAGGCCGAAAGGCGUAGUCGAUGGGAAACGGGUUAAUAUUCCCGUACUUGGUGUUACUGCGAAGGGGGGACGGAGAAGGCUAUGUUGGCCGGGCGACGGUUGUCCCGGUUUAAGCGUGUAGGUGUGUGUUCCAGGUAAAUCCGGUUCACUUUAACACUGAGGCGUGAUGACGAGGCACUACGGUGCUGAAGUAACAAAUGCCCUGCUUCCAGGAAAAGCCUCUAAGCAUCAGGUAACAUCAAAUCGUACCCCAAACCGACACAGGUGGUCAGGUAGAGAAUACCAAGGCGCUUGAGAGAACUCGGGUGAAGGAACUAGGCAAAAUGGUGCCGUAACUUCGGGAGAAGGCACGCUGACACGUAGGUGAAGUGAUUUACUCAUGGAGCUGAAGUCAGUCGAAGAUACCAGCUGGCUGCAACUGUUUAUUAAAAACACAGCACUGUGCAAACACGAAAGUGGACGUAUACGGUGUGACGCCUGCCCGGUGCCGGAAGGUUAAUUGAUGGGGUCAGCGCAAGCGAAGCUCCUGAUCGAAGCCCCGGUAAACGGCGGCCGUAACUAUAACGGUCCUAAGGUAGCGAAAUUCCUUGUCGGGUAAGUUCCGACCUGCACGAAUGGCGUAAUGAUGGCCAGGCUGUCUCCACCCGAGACUCAGUGAAAUUGAACUCGCUGUGAAGAUGCAGUGUACCCGCGGCAAGACGGAAAGACCCCGUGAACCUUUACUAUAGCUUGACACUGAACAUUGAGCCUUGAUGUGUAGGAUAGGUGGGAGGCUUUGAAGUGUGGACGCCAGUCUGCAUGGAGCCGACCUUGAAAUACCACCCUUUAAUGUUUGAUGUUCUAACGUGGACCCGUGAUCCGGGUUGCGGACAGUGUCUGGUGGGUAGUUUGACUGGGGCGGUCUCCUCCUAAAGAGUAACGGAGGAGCACGAAGGUUGGCUAAUCCUGGUCGGACAUCAGGAGGUUAGUGCAAUGGCAUAAGCCAGCUUGACUGCGAGCGUGACGGCGCGAGCAGGUGCGAAAGCAGGUCAUAGUGAUCCGGUGGUUCUGAAUGGAAGGGCCAUCGCUCAACGGAUAAAAGGUACUCCGGGGAUAACAGGCUGAUACCGCCCAAGAGUUCAUAUCGACGGCGGUGUUUGGCACCUCGAUGUCGGCUCAUCACAUCCUGGGGCUGAAGUAGGUCCCAAGGGUAUGGCUGUUCGCCAUUUAAAGUGGUACGCGAGCUGGGUUUAGAACGUCGUGAGACAGUUCGGUCCCUAUCUGCCGUGGGCGCUGGAGAACUGAGGGGGGCUGCUCCUAGUACGAGAGGACCGGAGUGGACGCAUCACUGGUGUUCGGGUUGUCAUGCCAAUGGCACUGCCCGGUAGCUAAAUGCGGAAGAGAUAAGUGCUGAAAGCAUCUAAGCACGAAACUUGCCCCGAGAUGAGUUCU